GGGCGUGAGGGGCUCCGGCUGUGGCAUCUGCCAUCGUUACGAUUGCCAGGGCUGAUCUGGCCGACAAGACUGGCAAGGCAGCCGGCCCCUUCCUCCCUCACUACUUCCUGUGACUCAUGCAGUAUUUUUAAAUACUUACACAUAUAUCCUAUUUUUAGGUAUGUCUUCCAUAAAAAUGCAUUGAUGUUUUUAAUCAGUGUUUUAAGGCUUUUAUCAAAAAAGAAACCAAGUCUUGUCUCAUAGCUGUAUUUCAUUGUUACGUGUUUUCAGUUGAAAUUCCAA
Molecule: unclassified non-coding RNA, 282 nt
Organism: Capra hircus (goat)
Lineage: Eukaryota; Metazoa; Chordata; Mammalia; Artiodactyla; Bovidae
Gene: 7SK
Rfam family: 7SK RNA
About the family: 7SK was discovered as an abundant small nuclear RNA in the mid-70s but a possible function has only recently been suggested.
Source: Ensembl